UACGUAGGGUGCGAGCAUUGUCCGGAAUUAUUGGGCGUAAAGGGCUCGUAGGCGGUUCGUCACGUCGGGAGUGAAAACUCGGGGCUUAACCCCGAGCCUGCUUCCGAUACGGGCAGACUAGAGGUAGGCAGGGGAGAGCGGAACUCCUGGUGUAGCGGUGGAAUGCGCAGAUAUCAGGAAGAACACCGGUGGCGAAGGCGGCUCUCUGGGCCUUACCUGACGCUGAGGAGCGAAAGCGUGGGUAGCAAACAGG
RNAcentral lists this ribosomal RNA (253 nucleotides) under uncultured bacterium. RNAcentral's name for it is "partial 16S ribosomal RNA". It matches the Rfam family "Bacterial small subunit ribosomal RNA", at positions 524 to 776 of the family's 1533-position model. The record is from RNAcentral.